GAUGAAGAACGCAGCGAAAUGCGAUAAGUAAUGUGAAUUGCAGAAUUCAGUGAAUCAUCGAAUCUUUGAACGCACAUUGCGCCCCUUGGUAUUCCGAGGGGCAUGCCUGUUCGAGCGUCAUUAUAACCCCUCAAGCUCCGCUUGGUGUUGGGCGUCUGUCCCGCUUCGCGCGCGGACUCGCCCCAAAGGUAUUGGCAGCGGUCGUGCCAGCUUCUCGCGCAGCACAUUGCGCUUCUCGAGGCACCGGUGGGCCCGCGUCCAUCAAGCUCACCCCCCCAGUUUGACCUCGGAUCAGGGAGGGAUACCCGCUGAACUUAAGCAUAUCAAUAAGCGGAGGA
RNAcentral lists this unclassified non-coding RNA (338 nucleotides) under soil metagenome. RNAcentral describes it as "partial contains 5.8S ribosomal RNA, internal transcribed spacer 2, and large subunit ribosomal RNA". The stretch from base 1 to 120 matches the Rfam family "5.8S ribosomal RNA", at positions 35 to 154 of the family's 154-position model. The record is from RNAcentral.